Molecule: ribosomal RNA, 218 nt
Filed under: uncultured bacterium
Lineage: Bacteria
Description: partial 16S ribosomal RNA
Rfam family: Bacterial small subunit ribosomal RNA
Source: RNAcentral
UCGAAAGCCUGUCCCAGUUCGGACUGGAGUCUGCAACCCGACUCCACGAAGUUGGAUUCGCUAGUAAUCGCGCAUCAGCCAUGGCGCGGUGAAUACGUUCCCGGGCCUUGUACACACCGCCCGUCAAGCCAUGGGAGCCGGGGGCGCCUGAAGUCCGGGACCGCGAGGACCAGCCUAGGGCGAAACUGGUAACUGGGGCUAAGUCGUAACAAGGUAGC